RNAcentral lists this ribosomal RNA (293 nucleotides) under uncultured bacterium. Its description in RNAcentral is "partial 16S ribosomal RNA". It matches the Rfam family "Bacterial small subunit ribosomal RNA", at positions 773 to 1060 of the family's 1533-position model. The record is from RNAcentral.
GUGGAUUAGAUACCCCGGUAGUCCACGCCGUAAACGAUGAGUGCUAAGUGUUAGAGGGGUCACACCCUUUAGUGCUGCAGCUAACGCGAUAAGCACUCCGCCUGGGGAGUACGGCCGCAAGGCUGAAACUCAAAGGAAUUGACGGGGGCCCGCACAAGCGGUGGAGCAUGUGGUUUAAUUCGAAGCAACGCGAAGAACCUUACCAGGUCUUGACAUCCCCUGACAACCCAAGAGAUUGGGCGUUCCCCCUUCGGGGGGACAGGGUGACAGGUGGUGCACGGUCGUCGCCAACU